AGCUCUGCUGGAGAGACCUGAGGCUUGCAUCGCUGGGCCCGGCCGGGUCGCUGCGGCUGGGCUGGAGGUGAGGCGAAAGAAGGGCAUCCUCUGAUGGGAGUGGACCGGAGUCCGCUAAAGCGAAGCAUUCCAGGGUCAAGGAUGCAUUCCAGGAAAGUUCUAUAAAAAUAUACCAUCAACUCCAACCUGAUAUUUGACCUAGCCAUGGAAAACCUCAUUGGCUCCUCACUGGAUCAGACCAUAAAAAUGAUCCAGGAAUGAAAAUCUAAGAUAAAUUCCCACCACUUCAAGAUGUUCUUAUACAAGUCAACAGUCUAGCAGAUCAGCCAGUCUCUUUCAUCAUCAAGCAGACAUACUCAAGAAAGAGGAAUAGUGAAGUGAAAUACACAGAAGCAUGUUCAAGUUCAUCUGUUGAAUCUGGAAUUGUGAAUAGUGACAAUAUUGAGAAAAAUACUGACUCCAAUCUGCAAACUUCAACUUCAUUUGAGCCACAUUUCAAAAAGAAAAAAAAGAAAAAUUUGAAACAUUAAGGGAAAACAGUUGGGUAAAAGAUCCAUUUGCUUUUCGAAACCCUGAAU
Molecule: small RNA, 578 nt
Filed under: Pan troglodytes (chimpanzee)
Lineage: Eukaryota; Metazoa; Chordata; Mammalia; Primates; Hominidae
Description: processed transcript
Source: RNAcentral